RNAcentral lists this ribosomal RNA (1000 nucleotides) under Myroides sp. Its description in RNAcentral is "bacterial SSU rRNA". It matches the Rfam family "Bacterial small subunit ribosomal RNA", at positions 512 to 1533 of the family's 1533-position model. Lineage: Bacteria; Pseudomonadati; Bacteroidota; Flavobacteriia; Flavobacteriales; Flavobacteriaceae. The record is from RNAcentral.
CAGCCGCCGGUAAAUACGGAGGAUCCGAGCGUUAUCCGGAUAUAUUGGGUUUAAAGGGGUUCGUAGGCGGUUGAGUAAGUCAGUGGUGAAAUCUUAUAGCUUAACUAUAAAAUUGCCGUUGAUACUGCUUGACUUGAAUAGUAUGGAAGUAAUUAGAAUAUGUAGUGUAGCGGUGAAAUGCUUAGAUAUUACAUGGAAUACCAAUUGCGAAGGCAGAUUACUACGUACUUAUUGACGCUGAUGAACGAAAGCGUGGGUAGCGAACAGGAUUUAGAUACCCUGGUAGUCCACGCCGUAAACGAUGGAUACUAGCUGUUCGGUUUUCGGACUGAGUGGCUAAGCGAAAGUGAUAAGUAUCCCACCUGGGGAGUACGUUCGCAAGAAUGAAACUCAAAGGAAUUGACGGGGGCCCGCACAAGCGGUGGAGCAUGUGGUUUAAUUCGAUGAUACGCGAGGAACCUUACCAAGGCUUAAAUGUAGAUUGACAGGUUUAGAGAUAGACUUUUCUUCGGACAAUUUACAAGGUGCUGCAUGGUUGUCGUCAGCUCGUGCCGUGAGGUGUCAGGUUAAGUCCUAUAACGAGCGCAACCCCUAUUGUUAGUUGCCAGCGAGUAAUGUCGGGAACUCUAACAAGACUGCCGGUGCAAACCGUGAGGAAGGUGGGGAUGACGUCAAAUCAUCACGGCCCUUACGUCUUGGGCUACACACGUGCUACAAUGGCCAGUACAGAAAGCAGCUACCAGGCAACUGGAUGCGAAUCUCAAAAACUGGUCUCAGUUCGGAUUGGAGUCUGCAACUCGACUCCAUGAAGCUGGAAUCGCUAGUAAUCGGAUAUCAGCCAUGAUCCGGUGAAUACGUUCCCGGGCCUUGUACACACCGCCCGUCAAGCCAUGGAAGCCGGGGGUACCUGAAGUCGGUCGCCGCAAGGAGCUGCCUAGGGUAAAACUGGUAACUAGGGCUAAGUCGUAACAAGGUAACCAAUCUAGAUGCAUUCCGCCGA